CAGUAGCCGCGGGAAAACGAAGGGGGCUAGCGUUGUUCGGAUUUACUGGGCGUAAAGCGCACGUAGGCGGAUCGAUCAGUCAGGGGUGAAAUCCCAGAGCUCAACUCUGGAACUGCCUUUGAUACUGUCGAUCUGGAGUAUGGAAGAGGUGAGUGGAAUUCCGAGUGUAGAGGUGAAAUUCGUAGAUAUUCGGAGGAACACCAGUGGCGAAGGCGGCUCACUGGUCCAUUACUGACGCUGAGGUGCGAAAGCGUGGGGAGCAAACAGGAUUAGAUACCCCAGUAGUCCCUGUCUCUUAUAC
Molecule: ribosomal RNA, 301 nt
Filed under: uncultured bacterium
Lineage: Bacteria
Description: partial 16S ribosomal RNA
Rfam family: Bacterial small subunit ribosomal RNA
Source: RNAcentral